Molecule: ribosomal RNA, 912 nt
Filed under: Clitopilus cf. prunulus
Lineage: Eukaryota; Fungi; Basidiomycota; Agaricomycetes; Agaricales; Entolomataceae
Description: partial large subunit ribosomal RNA
Rfam family: Eukaryotic large subunit ribosomal RNA
Source: RNAcentral
AAGGAACUAACAAGGAUUCCCCUAGUAACUGCGAGUGAAGCGGGAAAAGCUCAAAUUUAAAAUCUGGUAGUCUCUGGCUGCCCGAGUUGUAAUCUAGAGAAGUGUUAUCCGCGCUGGACCGUGUAUAAGUCUCCUGGAAUGGAGCGUCAUAGAGGGUGAGAAUCCCGUCUUUGACACGGACUACCAGGGCUUUGUGAUGCGCUCUCAAAGAGUCGAGUUGUUUGGGAAUGCAGCUCUAAAUGGGUGGUAAAUUCCAUCUAAAGCUAAAUAUUGGCGAGAGACCGAUAGCGAACAAGUACCGUGAGGGAAAGAUGAAAAGAACUUUGGAAAGAGAGUUAAACAGUACGUGAAAUUGUUGAAAGGGAAACGCUUGAAGUCAGUCGCGUUGGCUAGGAAUCAGCCUUGCUUUUGCUUGGUGUACUUCCUUGUUGACGGGUCAGCAUCAAUUUUGACCGGUGGAAAAAGACUAGUGGAAUGUGGCAUCUUCGGAUGUGUUAUAGCUGCUAGUUGUAUACAUCGGUUGGGAUUGAGGAACUCAGCACGCCGAAAGGUCGGGGUUCGCCCACGUUCGUGCUUAGGAUGCUGGCAUAAUGGCUUUAAUCGACCCGUCUUGAAACACGGACCAAGGAGUCUAACAUGCCUGCGAGUGUUUGGGUGGAAAACCCGAGCGCGUAAUGAAAGUGAAAGUUGAGAUCCCUGUCGUGGGGAGCAUCGACGCCCGGACCAGACCUUCUGUGACGGAUCCGCGGUAGAGCAUGUAUGUUGGGACCCGAAAGAUGGUGAACUAUGCCUGAAUAGGGUGAAGCCAGAGGAAACUCUGGUGGAGGCUCGUAGCGAUUCUGACGUGCAAAUCGAUCGUCAAAUUUGGGUAUAGGGGCGAAAGACUAAUCGAACCAUCUAGUAGCUGGUUCU